AUCGAAUCUACAUAAUUACCCAAAAAAAUACAAACUUUAAACUCCCACAACCCACAAAUCGAGAAGCUAAACCCACAACAGAACAGGUUUGAAAAAAAAACACAAACUUGUCAUCAUCCAAAAUGAGCCAAUGCCAAAGCCCAUGUGACAAUUAGUGCAAGACUCCAGGCAAAACAGUUUGGAAACAUAAACAUAGCUCAAAACGCCAGCAUCGUGCAUUUUUCACACCCGAAACCAAACAACUCAACGAAAUUCUUCAACUCAGACGCAAGUUACUUUUUCUCAGCUCACAUUUAGAGAUUUUUCUCACCUAGUUUUGAUCGAAAAACCGUAACUUGUUUUGGGAAUGUUGUUUUAUGUAUGUCGGGUCGGAUCUGCACCGGUUCCGGGUCGGAGGGUACACGCGUGUAUAAAUAUAAUCAUAGUAGGAAAUACUAAUAUCAUUGUUUCAUUAUUUUUGGCCGCCGCUCUGUCUCUUUCCCAAAUUCAAGUUUAGUACUCUCUCUCUCCCAAAUUCAGGUCCUCUCUCUACCAGUUUCAAGCUCUCUCUCUUGCCCGCCUGCUCGCCCAAGUUUACAGAUUCAUUGUUAUUUGAAAUGCCAAACGGCGUUUCCCACCCUCUGCGUAUGGUAGCUUCAGUUGCUGCUUCGCUUCUUGGUGGAGUUUUCGCUGUUGGUUUUCUGUCCUCUUCAGUCUCCGAACGCUACACUUCAUUUAAGAAGGUUGCUUUUGCAGAAAAAAUAUGGGCGGCCGUGUCGGAGCUGUAAAGCAGUUGGCUACUACGCGUGUAAGACGUGUAAAGGGCGUGGCACUAUAAAUUGGUCUCCACUCUAUGAUCCAAUCUUCAUAAACCCUUGUGUCUGUCCAACCUGUGAUGGAUUCAAGGUCCAACGCUGUCUUAACUGCUUGGGAUACGGCUCUGCAUAAGUUUUCAAUAUCAUGGUGCUAGUAAGAUUGGAUCUUCUCAAUCUUGUUGAAAUCGGAAUUGACUGUUUUUGCUAAUCAGAAGCCUCACUUACAUACACCUCGAGCUAGGAAUUCGUCAUGUUUACCUUCGAAAUGUUUAUAAAAUGGAGUAGAUGCUUAGGUAAAUGUUCACCUAGAACCAUGAAACAUGGCUGUUGUAAUCAUAUCAAUAACCUUAGAUAGCUAGUGAAUUUUUGCAUAUGUUGUUAAAGAUGAACCAUUGUGGUUUUGCUGUGAUUUUUGGUUAUGAAUAUGUUAACAUUGAUAGAAAUAUGUAGCACUUCAAUAUUUGAGUAA
Salvia splendens (bonfire salvia) is the source of this 1263-nucleotide RNA transcript. It is a transcript of the gene named protein ORANGE, chloroplastic-like, with no coding region annotated. The record is from RefSeq and is a predicted model, not a curated record. The transcript is spliced from 4 exons. NCBI's taxonomy places the organism in Eukaryota, Viridiplantae, Streptophyta, Magnoliopsida, Lamiales, Lamiaceae.